RNAcentral lists this small RNA (112 nucleotides) under Vibrio owensii CAIM 1854 = LMG 25443. RNAcentral's name for it is "Hfq binding sRNA". It matches the Rfam family "STnc490 Hfq binding RNA". The record is from RNAcentral. Lineage: Bacteria; Pseudomonadati; Pseudomonadota; Gammaproteobacteria; Vibrionales; Vibrionaceae.
AACCCCUAGCUAGGCUGGGGGGACCGUAAAGCUUACAGUUAUAUACCUCCUUUCAAUUUGAAAAAAACGUCUUGCGGUCUGGCAACUGCAAGAGUUAAUUAAGAAUUGAAAG